AGGCCUACGGGAGGCAGCAGUGGGGGAUAUUGGACAAUGGGGGGAACCCUGAUCCAGCGACGCCGCGUGAGUGAAGAAGUAUUCCGGUAUGUAAAGCUCUAUCAGCAGGGAAGAAAAAUGACGGUACCUGAGUAAGAAGCACCGGCUAAAUACGUGCCAGCAGCCGCGGUAAUACGUAUGGUGCAAGCGUUAUCCGGAUUUACUGGGUGUAAAGGGAGCGCAGGCGGUGCGGCAAGUCUGAUGUGAAAGCCCGGGGCUCAACCCCGGGACUGCAUUGGAAACUACCGAACUAGAGUGUCGGAGAG
Molecule: ribosomal RNA, 305 nt
Filed under: uncultured bacterium
Lineage: Bacteria
Description: bacterial SSU rRNA
Rfam family: Bacterial small subunit ribosomal RNA
Source: RNAcentral